This 465-nucleotide ribosomal RNA is filed under the name Vreelandella stevensii. RNAcentral describes it as "partial 16S ribosomal RNA". It matches the Rfam family "Bacterial small subunit ribosomal RNA", at positions 338 to 795 of the family's 1533-position model. The record is from RNAcentral. Lineage: Bacteria; Pseudomonadati; Pseudomonadota; Gammaproteobacteria; Oceanospirillales; Halomonadaceae.
CCUACGGGGGGUUGCAGUGGGGAAUAUUGGACAAUGGGGGGAACCCUGAUCCAGCCAUGCCGCGUGUGUGAAGAAGGCCCUCGGGUUGUAAAGCACUUUCAGUGAGGAAGAACGCCUGGUGGUUAAUACCCAUCAGGAAAGACAUCACUCACAGAAGAAGCACCGGCUAACUCCGUGCCAGCAGCCGCGGUAAUACGGAGGGUGCGAGCGUUAAUCGGAAUUACUGGGCGUAAAGCGCGCGUAGGUGGCUUGAUAAGCCGGUUGUGAAAGCCCCGGGCUCAACCUGGGAACGGCAUCCGGAACUGUCAAGCUAGAGUGCAGGAGAGGAAGGUAGAAUUCCCGGUGUAGCGGUGAAAUGCGUAGAGAUCGGGAGGAAUACCAGUGGCGAAGGCGGCCUUCUGGACUGACACUGACACUGAGGUGCGAAAGCGUGGGUAGCAAACAGGAUUAGAUACCCUUGUAGUC